UGGAGAGUUUGAUCCUGGCUCAGGAUGAACGCUGGCGGCGUGCCUAAUACAUGCAAGUCGAGCGAAUGGAUUAAGAGCUUGCUCUUAUGAAGUUAGCGGCGGACGGGUGAGUAACACGUGGGUAACCUGCCCAUAAGACUGGGAUAACUCCGGGAAACCGGGGCUAAUACCGGAUAACAUUUUGAACCGCAUGGUUCGAAAUUGAAAGGCGGCUUCGGCUGUCACUUAUGGAUGGACCCGCGUCGCAUUAGCUAGUUGGUGAGGUAACGGCUCACCAAGGCAACGAUGCGUAGCCGACCUGAGAGGGUGAUCGGCCACACUGGGACUGAGACACGGCCCAGACUCCUACGGGAGGCAGCAGUAGGGAAUCUUCCGCAAUGGACGAAAGUCUGACGGAGCAACGCCGCGUGAGUGAUGAAGGCUUUCGGGUCGUAAAACUCUGUUGUUAGGGAAGAACAAGUGCUAGUUGAAUAAGCUGGCACCUUGACGGUACCUAACCAGAAAGCCACGGCUAACUACGUGCCAGCAGCCGCGGUA
RNAcentral lists this ribosomal RNA (537 nucleotides) under Bacillus cereus. Its description in RNAcentral is "bacterial SSU rRNA". It matches the Rfam family "Bacterial small subunit ribosomal RNA", at positions 1 to 522 of the family's 1533-position model. Lineage: Bacteria; Bacillati; Bacillota; Bacilli; Caryophanales; Bacillaceae. RNAcentral also lists the same sequence under 1 other name. The record is from RNAcentral.